This 380-nucleotide ribosomal RNA is filed under the name uncultured eukaryote. RNAcentral describes it as "partial 18S ribosomal RNA". It matches the Rfam family "Eukaryotic small subunit ribosomal RNA", at positions 592 to 976 of the family's 1831-position model. The record is from RNAcentral.
CAAUAGCGUAUAUUAAAGUUGUUGCAGUUAGAACGCUCGUAGUCGGAUUUCGGGGCGGGCCGACCGGUCUGCCGAUGGGUAUGCACUGGUCGGCGCGUCCUUCCUUCCGGAGACCGUCCCUACUCUUAACUGAGCGGGGGCGGGAGACGGGACUUUUACUUUGAAAAAAUCAGAGUGUUUCAAGCAGGCAGCUCGCUCUUGCAUGGAUUAGCAUGGGAUAAUGAAAUAGGACUUUGGUGCUAUUUUGCUGGUUUCGAACACCGAAGUAAUGAUGAGAAGGGACAGUCAGGGGCACUCGUAUUCCGCCGAGAGAGGUGAAAUUCUCAGACCAGCGGAAGACGAACCACUGCGAAAGCAUUUGCCAGGGAUGUUUUCACUGA